Molecule: transfer RNA, 82 nt
Filed under: Paludibacteraceae bacterium
Lineage: Bacteria; Pseudomonadati; Bacteroidota; Bacteroidia; Bacteroidales; Paludibacteraceae
Also listed under: 1 other name
Description: tRNA-Leu
Rfam family: tRNA
About the family: Transfer RNA (tRNA) molecules are approximately 80 nucleotides in length. Their secondary structure includes four short double-helical elements and three loops (D, anti-codon, and T loops).
Source: RNAcentral
GCGGAUGUGGCGAAAUUGGUAGACGCGCUAGACUUAGGAUCUAGUGCCGUGAGGCUUGUGGGUUCGAGUCCCGUCAUCCGCA